This 700-nucleotide ribosomal RNA is filed under the name uncultured bacterium. RNAcentral's name for it is "bacterial SSU rRNA". It matches the Rfam family "Bacterial small subunit ribosomal RNA", at positions 8 to 702 of the family's 1533-position model. The record is from RNAcentral.
AGAGUUUGAUCAUGGCUCAGAUUGAACGCUGGCGGCACGCCUAACACAUGCAAGUCGAGCGGCAGCGUGAUGUGUAGCAAUACACAUUGUCGGCGAGCGGCGGACGGGUGAGGAACACGUAGGAACCUGCCUAGUAGAGGGGGAUAACCAAUGGAAACGUUGGCUAAUACCGCAUAAUCUCGAAAGAGCAAAGCUGCAGCAAUGUAGCACUAUUAGAGGGGCCUGCGUCCGAUUAGCUAGUUGGUGAGGUAAAAGCUCACCAAGGCGAUGAUCGGUAACUGGUCUGAGAGGACGACCAGUCACACUGGGACUGAGACACGGCCCAGACUCCUACGGGAGGCAGCAGUGGGGAAUCUUGGACAAUGGGGGCAACCCUGAUCCAGCGAUGCCGCGUGAGUGAAGAAGGCCUUCGGGUCGUAAAGCUCUUUAGGCUGGGAAGAAGGGUAGUUGAGGAAAUGCAGCUAUUUUGACUGUACCAGCAGAAUAAGCACCGGCAAACUCUGUGCCAGCAGCCGCGGUAAUACAGAGGGUGCGAGCGUUGAUCGGAGUUACUGGGCGUAAAGGGCGCGUAGGCGGUUUAAUGAGUGUGGUGUGAAAGCCCCGGGCUUAACCUGGGAAGCGCAUCGCAAACGAUUGAACUGGAGUAGAUGAGAGGGUGAUGGAAUUUCCGGUGUAGCGGUGAAAUGCGUAGAGAUCGGAA